GAUGAAGAACGCAGCGAAAUGCGAUACGUAAUGUGAAUUGCAGAAUUCAGUGAAUCAUCGAAUCUUUGAACGCAUAUUGCGCUCUCUGGUAUUCCGGAGAGCAUGCUUGUUUGAGUAUCAGUAAACACCUCAACUUCCAUAUCUUUUUUGAAAUGGGAGUUGGACUUGAGUGAUCCCAACGCUUUUCCUCACCGAAAAGUGGCGGGUUACUUGAAAUGCAGGUGCAGCUGGACUUUUCUCUGAGCUAUAAGCAUAUCUAUUUAGUCUGCCUAAAAACAGAUUAUUACCUUUGCUGCAGCUAACAUAAAGGAGAUUAGUUCUUGUGCUGACUGAUGCAGGAUUCACAAAGACAGGCUUCGGCCGACUUGUAAACUCGAUCUCAAAUCAAGUAAGACUACCCGCUGAACUUAAGCAUAUCAAUAAGCAGAGGA
This 431-nucleotide unclassified non-coding RNA is filed under the name soil metagenome. RNAcentral's name for it is "partial contains 5.8S ribosomal RNA, internal transcribed spacer 2, and large subunit ribosomal RNA". The stretch from base 1 to 120 matches the Rfam family "5.8S ribosomal RNA", at positions 35 to 154 of the family's 154-position model. The record is from RNAcentral.